This 494-nucleotide ribosomal RNA is filed under the name uncultured bacterium. Its description in RNAcentral is "partial 16S ribosomal RNA". It matches the Rfam family "Bacterial small subunit ribosomal RNA", at positions 28 to 507 of the family's 1533-position model. The record is from RNAcentral.
GACGAACGCUGGCGGCGUGCUUAACACAUGCAAGUCGAACGGUGAAGCGCCUUCCUUUUUGGUGGGUGUGGAUGAGUGGCGAACGGGUGAGUAACACGUGAGUAACCUGCCCCCUUCUUCUGGAUAACCGCAUGAAAGUGUGGCUAAUACGGGAUAUUCUGGGUCUGUCGCAUGAUGGGUCUGGGAAAGAUAUUGUUUCGGUGGGGGAUGGGCUCGCGGCCUAUCAGCUUGUUGGUGGGGUGAUGGCCUACCAAGGCGGUGACGGGUAGCCGGCCUGAGAGGGUGGACGGUCACACUGGGACUGAGACACGGCCCAGACUCCUACGGGAGGCAGCAGUGGGGAAUAGUGCACAAUGGGCGCAAGCCUGAUGCAGCGACGCCGCGUGAGGGAUGGAGGCCUGCGGGUUGUGAACCUCUUUCGCCAGUGAAGCAGGACUGCCUCGUUUGUGGGUGGGUUGACGGUAGCUGGAGAAGAAGCGCCGGCUAACUACGUG